Molecule: ribosomal RNA, 638 nt
Filed under: uncultured bacterium
Lineage: Bacteria
Description: bacterial SSU rRNA
Rfam family: Bacterial small subunit ribosomal RNA
Source: RNAcentral
UAACGCGUAUCCAACCUUCCGUACACUCAGGGAUAGCCUUUCGAAAGAAAGAUUAAUACCUGAUGGUAUGAUGAGAUUGCAUGAUAGCAUCAUUAAAGAUUUAUCGGUGUACGAUGGGGAUGCGUUCCAUUAGGUAGUAGGCGGGGUAACGGCCCACCUAGCCAACGAUGGAUAGGGGUUCUGAGAGGAAGGUCCCCCACAUUGGAACUGAGACACGGUCCAAACUCCUACGGGAGGCAGCAGUGAGGAAUAUUGGUCAAUGGACGAGAGUCUGAACCAGCCAAGUAGCGUGAAGGAUGAAGGUCCUACGGAUUGUAAACUUCUUUUAUAAGGGAAUAAACCCUCCCACGUGUGGGAGCUUGUAUGUACCUUAUGAAUAAGCAUCGGCUAACUCCGUGCCAGCAGCCGCGGUAAUACGGAGGAUGCGAGCGUUAUCCGGAUUUAUUGGGUUUAAAGGGAGCGCAGACGGGUCGUUAAGUCAGCUGUGAAAGUUUGGGGCUCAACCUUAAAAUUGCAGUUGAUACUGGCGUCCUUGAGUGCGGUUGAGGUGUGCGGAAUUCGUGGUGUAGCGGUGAAAUGCUUAGAUAUCACGAAGAACUCCGAUUGCGAAGGCAGCACACUAAUCCGUAACUGACGUU